CCGCGUCUCGCGUCACUGAGUCGCGUCACGGCUAUUGGCUUGUUCCUACUGUGGCGUCAUUAGAGCCCGGCCUCCGGCUGGGGCCACCCAGGCAACCGAUAUACACAGAGAACCACGUGGAGGAAAAGCACGCGAGUUUGGAGCGGGUGGAGCAGGAACAGAGGUGGACUGGAAUGUCACACGACGGGGCAGCUGGAAGGCAUCAUCGCCAUCAACAUACAGCCAUACUCCAGGAUUGCCCAUCUUCAACAUAAACGGACUCUCCUGGACUCCACUUCCCACAUCAGUCACAGCCACACUUCCUGAGAAAGAAGUCUACACUCUUCAUUCACUUUCAUUCACCCACUUCCAACCUGGCUCCUGUUACCACUGGACCGUCAAAAGUGACUCUUGUCAAAGUCACUAUUCUGGCUACCUAUUGCUGUGUAAUAACCUCCUCAAAAUUUAGUAUCUUUAAAAAACAAUUUAUUAUGUCUCAUACUUCUGUGGUUGACUGGGCUCAGCUGGGAAAUUCUUCUUGGGGUCUGUUUCUCAUGAGGUUGCAGUCAACAGCUGGGACUGGAGUCGUCUGAAGCCUCAGCUGAGCUGGACAUCCAAGAUGGCUCACUCACAUGGCUGGCAGUGGAUGGUGGCUGUUGGGUGGGAGCUUAGCUUGUGCUGGCAACUUGAGUGCCUAUAUGUGGCCACUCUGUGUGGCUUGGGCUUCUCAGAAUGGCAGCUGGGUUCCAGGAGGGAGUGUCCCAGGAGUGAGCAUUCCAGGAGAACCAGGUGGAAGCUGCAAGACUUCUUAUGAGCCAGGCUUGGAAGUCAUGCCAUGUGACUUCUACUAUAUACUGUUGGUCAUAAGCAAGACAAGGCCAUGCCAGAUUCAACAGAAGGGAUUACCCAGGGGCCCAGUUUACAUAGGAGGCCAUCUUUGGAGACUAGCUACCAUAGUCACCAGCGCAUUGGUCCUCAUCUUACUUGACUUCAUAGCAGUUGACCCAGUUGAUCACUGUUUUUCAAAACUCUCCCUUCUUUGGCUCCACAGACCCCUGGAUUUCCUCUUUCUUCACUGACUGCUCUUUAAUCUCUUUUGCACCCUCAAAAGCCUAAAUAUUGGACUGUCUCAGAUUCUACUCUGGGCCUAGAAUUAUAGAAUUAUUCCUCUGUCAUGUCUGCCUGCAUGAUCUUACUCGUCCCAUGGUCGAUGUCUACCAUCCAAAUAAAAUUUCCAGCAUACUUUUGUUUCUAGCCUGGACCUCUUACCUCUUGCUCAGGACUGGGAUAUCCAGCUGUUUUCUUGAUGCUUCCAUUUGGAUGUCUAAUGGGCAUCACAGAUUUAAUAUAUCUGCUUUCCCACCUCAAUGCUUCCCCAGCCUUUUCUUUCUCAACAGAUGUCGUCAUCAUCCACUUGUUCAAACAAGAGCCCAAGGAUCAUCCUAGAUUCCUUCUCACUUCCUCUCAAUCCAUCCCUGAAACAGCCAAACC
Molecule: long non-coding RNA, 1470 nt
Organism: Homo sapiens (human)
Lineage: Eukaryota; Metazoa; Chordata; Mammalia; Primates; Hominidae
Gene: USP2-AS1
Product: USP2 antisense RNA 1
Source: Ensembl